This 253-nucleotide ribosomal RNA is filed under the name uncultured bacterium. RNAcentral describes it as "partial 16S ribosomal RNA". It matches the Rfam family "Bacterial small subunit ribosomal RNA", at positions 524 to 776 of the family's 1533-position model. The record is from RNAcentral.
UACGUAGGGGGCAAGCGUUGUCCGGAAUCAUUGGGCGUAAAGAGCGUGUAGGCGGCCAGGUAGGUCCGCUGUGAAAACUCGAGGCUCAACCUCGAGAUGUCGGCGGAAACCAUCUGGCUAGAGUCCGGAAGAGGAGAGUGGAACUCCUGGUGUAGCGGUGAAAUGCGCAGAUAUCAGGAAGAACACCCGUGGCGAAGGCGGCUCUCUGGGACGGUACUGACGCUGAGACGCGAAAGCGUGGGGAGCGAACAGG